UUAAGUGACUAAGCGUACAAGGUGGAUGCCUUGGCAAUCAGAGGCGAAGAAGGACGUGCUAAUCUGCGAAAAGCUUGGAUGAGUCGAUAAGAGGCGUUUAAUCCAAGAUAUCCGAAUGGGGAAACCCAGUAGAUGAAGAAUCUAUUAUCAACAAGUGAAUUCAUAGCUUGUUGAGGCAAACCGGGAGAACUGAAACAUCUAAGUACCCCGAGGAAAAGAAAUCAACCGAGAUUUCGUCAGUAGCGGCGAGCGAAAGCGAAAGAGCCAGUAAGUGAUAACAGUAUGGUUAGGAGAAUGUGUUGGGAAGCACAAUCAAAGAGGGUGAUAAUCCCGUAUCUUAAAACCAUAUUGUGGUACUAAGCUAACGAGAAGUAGGGCGGGACACGUGAUAUCCUGUUUGAAGAUGGGGGGACCAUCCUCCAAGGCUAAAUACUCCUGAUUGACCGAUAGUGAACCAGUACUGUGAAGGAAAGGCGAAAAGAACCCCGGUGAGGGGAGUGAAAUAGAACCUGAAACCUUGUACGUACAAGCAGUGGGAGCCUGAAAGGGUGACUGCGUACCUUUUGUAUAAUGGGUCAGCGACUUAUAUUUUGUAGCGAGGUUAACCGAAUAGGGGAGCCGAAGGGAAACCGAGUCUUAACUGGGCGAAUAGUUGCAAGGUAUAGACCCGAAACCCGGUGAUCUAGCCAUGGGCAGGUUGAAGGUUGGGUAACACUAACUGGAGGACCGAACCGACUAAUGUUGAAAAAUUAGCGGAUGACUUGUGGCUGGGGGUGAAAGGCCAAUCAAACCGGGAGAUAGCUGGUUCUCCCCGAAAUCUAUUUAGGUAGAGCCUUGAGGUGACACCUUUGGGGGUAGAGCACUGUUUCGGCUAGGGGUCCAUCCCGGAUUACCAACCCGAUGCAAACUACGAAUACCAAAGAGUGAUACUCAGGAGACACACGGCGGGUGCUAACGUCCGUCGUGGAGAGGGAAACAACCCAGACCGCCAGCUAAGGUCCCCAAGUCUAUAUUAAGUGGGAAACGAAGUGGGAAGGCUUAGACAGCUAGGAUGUUGGCUUAGAAGCAGCCAUCAUUUAAAGAAAGCGUAAUAGCUCACUAGUCGAGUCGGCCUGCGCGGAAGAUGUAACGGGGCUGAAAUAUAGCACCGAAGCUGCGGCAUCAGACGAAAGUCUGUUGGGUAGGGGAGCGUUGUGUAAGCGGAUGAAGGUUAAUCGAGAGGUUAGCUGGACGUAUCACAAGUGCGAAUGCUGACAUAAGUAACGAUAAAACGAGUGAAAAACUCGUUCGCCGGAAGACCAAGGGUUCCUGUCCAACGUUAAUCGGGGCAGGGUGAGUCGGCCCCUAAGGCGAGGCUGAAAAGCGUAGUCGAUGGGAAACAGGUUAAUAUUCCUGUACUUGGUAAAGCUGCGAUGUGGGGACGGAGUAGGUUAGGUUAGCGUGCUGUUGGAUAUGCACGUUUAAGUUGGUAGGUGGGAAGUUUAGGCAAAUCCGGACUUCCUUAACACUGAGAGAUGAUGACGAGGCUCUACGGAGCUGAAGUAACUGAUACCACACUUCCAGGAAAAGCCACUAAGCGACAGGUUUUACUAAACCGUACUGAAAACCGACACAGGUGGUCAGGUAGAGAAUACUCAGGCGCUUGAGAGAACUCGGGUGAAGGAACUAGGCAAAAUAGCACCGUAACUUCGGGAGAAGGUGCGCCGGCGUAGAUUGUAAGGGCUGGCCCCUGAAGGUUGAACCGGUCGAAGAUACCAGCUGGCUGCAACUGUUUAUUAAAAACACAGCACUCUGCAAACACGAAAGUGGAGGUAUAGGGUGUGAUGCCUGCCCGGUGCUGGAAGGUUAAUUGAUGGUGUAAUCGAAAGAGAAGCACCUGAUCGAAGCCCCAGUAAACGGCGGCCGUAACUAUAACGGUCCUAAGGUAGCGAAAUUCCUUGUCGGGUAAGUUCCGACCUGCACGAAUGGCAUAAUGAUGGCUAGGCUGUCUCCACCCGAGACUCAGUGAAAUUGAAAUCGCCGUGAAGAUGCGGUGUACCCGCGGCUAGACGGAAAGACCCCGUGAACCUUUACUAUAGCUUGACACUGAACAUUGAAUUUUGAUGUGUAGGAUAGGUGGGAGACUAAGAAGUAGGAACGCCAGUUUCUAUGGAGUCAUCCUUGAAAUACCACCCUUUAACGUUUGAUGUUCUAACGAAGAUUACGAAACGUGGUCUCGGACAGUGUCUGGUGGGUAGUUUGACUGGGGCGGUCUCCUCCCAAAGCGUAACGGAGGAGCACGAAGGUUUGCUAAUCACGGUCGGACAUCGUGAGGUUAGUGCAAUGGUAUAAGCAAGCUUAACUGCGAGACAGACAAGUCGAGCAGGUACGAAAGUAGGUCAUAGUGAUCCGGUGGUUCUGAAUGGAAGGGCCAUCGCUCAACGGAUAAAAGGUACUCCGGGGAUAACAGGCUGAUACCGCCCAAGAGUUCAUAUCGACGGCGGUGUUUGGCACCUCGAUGUCGGCUCAUCACAUCCUGGGGCUGAAGUAGGUCCCAAGGGUAUGGCUGUUCGCCAUUUAAAGUGGUACGCGAGCUGGGUUUAGAACGUCGUGAGACAGUUCGGUCCCUAUCUGCCGUGGGCGUUGGAGAAUUGGUUGGGGCUGCUCCUAGUACGAGAGGACCGGAGUGGACGCACCACUGGUGUUCCGGUUGUGUCGCCAGACGCAUUGCCGGGUAGCUAAGUGCGGAAGAGAUAAGUGCUGAAAGCAUCUAAGCACGAAACUUGCCAAGAGAUGAGUUCUCCCAAUCUAAGAGAUAGUAAGGGUUGUUGUAGACUACGACGUAGAUAGGCAGGGUGUGUAAGUGAUGUGAGUCAUUGAGCUAACCUGUACUAAUUGCCCGAGAGGCUUAACUAU
This 2895-nucleotide ribosomal RNA is filed under the name Haemophilus influenzae. RNAcentral describes it as "bacterial LSU rRNA". It matches the Rfam family "Bacterial large subunit ribosomal RNA". The record is from RNAcentral. Lineage: Bacteria; Pseudomonadati; Pseudomonadota; Gammaproteobacteria; Pasteurellales; Pasteurellaceae.